Molecule: ribosomal RNA, 449 nt
Filed under: uncultured bacterium
Lineage: Bacteria
Description: bacterial SSU rRNA
Rfam family: Bacterial small subunit ribosomal RNA
Source: RNAcentral
UGGGGAAUUUUGGACAAUGGGGGCAACCCUGAUCCAGCCAUGCCGCGUGCGGGAAGAAGGCCUUCGGGUUGUAAACCGCUUUUAUCCGGAAAGAAGGAGUCCAGGCUAAUACCCUGGAUGACUGACGGUACCGGAGGAAUAAGCACCGGCUAACUACGUGCCAGCAGCCGCGGUAAUACGUAGGGUGCGAGCGUUAAUCGGAAUUACUGGGCGUAAAGCGUGCGCAGGCGGUUCGUUAAGUCAGCUGUGAAAGCCCCGGGCUCAACCUGGGAAUUGCGGUUGAAACUGGCGAACUAGAAUCUGGCAGAGGGGGGUGGAAUUCCACGUGUAGCAGUGAAAUGCGUAGAGAUGUGGAGGAACACCGAUGGCGAAGGCAGCCCCCUGGGCUGAGAUUGACGCUCAGGCACGAAAGCGUGGGGAGCAAACAGGAUUAGAUACCCCUGUAGUCC